ACGCCUUGGGAUUUCCCCCGAGAAGCUGGCCGAAGUGGCUGGGGAGAGGGAAGUCUGAGCCUCCCUACUUAGGCUGCUGCUCCCAAGACCUAACCCCGGAUAAGAGAAAGAACAUUUAUGAUGGAUGGAUGGAUGGAUGGAUGGAUGGAUGGAUGGAUGGAUGGAUGGAACUCAGUUGUAUUAUAUUUUCUGUAAACAGGAUGGCAGCUCAGCUCUUUCUGUUGCGUUAGAGGCAGGACAUAAUGACAUCGCCGUCCUCCUUUACGCUCAUGCCAACUUCUCCAGACACUCAGGGGCUGUUGGUCGACACAGUGGCAGGUUUCUGUCUUCCUGAAGGAGGAAGUAAUAAUGUUGGAUCAGACGAUGUACCAAAGCGUGUCUCCUGAAUCCUGUUUGUUAGGGGUUACUAUCAGAGCCCUCGCAAAAAUCUGGCCAAAGUACUGAUUCUACAAAUAUUGUCAGAGUGUUUCGUCCACUAUAUGAAUGCUAGUGUCAUAUUUGCUAAGUAUGUUAGUAUAGCAGAGUAAUCAACGUAUCUAUCAUCAUAAAAGACCAUAAACACUGUUGUUAUAGUUAUCAGCUUUUUUUAAUCAAACAAUUUUACAGGAAAAUAAAACAUUAAAACUUUUGUAUAUCUUGUAAUUGCAACACAAACAUAUUUGUAAGCUGAGGAGACUGGUGCAUAAGUUGGUACAGUUUCUGAAAAUAAAGUCAAACAAGUCACUUCCACUUGUGUUGUUUCAA
Molecule: long non-coding RNA, 744 nt
Organism: Austrofundulus limnaeus
Lineage: Eukaryota; Metazoa; Chordata; Actinopteri; Cyprinodontiformes; Rivulidae
Exons: 2
Source: RefSeq, a predicted model, not a curated record